AGCUCAGGUUUCUCUUCAUUUACGUAUAAAUCUUUCGCCUUUAGUAAAAGAUUUCCGUGCAGGGGAACGUUGAGUAUUGCUCAUUUUUUGAAAGCUUUGCUUUUAGCGAAGCU
This is a small nuclear RNA of Astyanax mexicanus (Mexican tetra), 113 nucleotides long. RefSeq annotates it as U5 spliceosomal RNA. Lineage: Eukaryota; Metazoa; Chordata; Actinopteri; Characiformes; Acestrorhamphidae. The record is from RefSeq and is a predicted model, not a curated record. The transcript has a single exon.